Tupaia belangeri chinensis (Chinese tree shrew) is the source of this 451-nucleotide long non-coding RNA. RefSeq lists it as uncharacterized. The record is from RefSeq and is a predicted model, not a curated record. NCBI's taxonomy places the organism in Eukaryota, Metazoa, Chordata, Mammalia, Scandentia, Tupaiidae. The transcript has 2 exons.
AAGAUCAACAGUUCCCAGCACGCGCGCGCCGUGUCCUUCCACGUCAAUCCUCCGGCUCGUGCUUUCAUCUCCCUCCGCCUUCAUGCCUCUGACCCUGGCGGUUCCAUAGGAGACGGUCACUGCCCUUCAGCUCAGCCCGGGGGACAUGUUUUCUUUAGAGCGGAGCAUGAGAAGUUAUUAACAGGGGAGCUUCGAGCCUAAUUACCUCGUACCAGAAACAGGACCACAAUGUUAAUGUGCAACACGCAUGGUGUUUACUUACUGGGUGUUCUGAUCAACAAGGAUUCCAAUCAAAGAAAACUAAAAAUAUGAGACACAAGUCCCUGAACAGAGGAGAACAAGCCUUGGGGCAUAUUAAUAUUCUCUCCCUUGAUAGAACAUUGUUUUGAAACAACCUCUAAUAAAGUGUACAUCUCUGUGUAGACUCUGUAACGUGUCGGUCUCGCUAACA